Molecule: ribosomal RNA, 822 nt
Filed under: Staphylococcus haemolyticus
Lineage: Bacteria; Bacillati; Bacillota; Bacilli; Caryophanales; Staphylococcaceae
Description: bacterial SSU rRNA
Rfam family: Bacterial small subunit ribosomal RNA
Source: RNAcentral
ACAAGGAGCUUGCUCCUUUGACGUUAGCGGCGGACGGGUGAGUAACACGUGGGUAACCUACCUAUAAGACUGGGAUAACUUCGGGAAACCGGAGCUAAUACCGGAUAAUAUUUCGAACCGCAUGGUUCGAUAGUGAAAGAUGGUUUUGCUAUCACUUAUAGAUGGACCCGCGCCGUAUUAGCUAGUUGGUAAGGUAACGGCUUACCAAGGCGACGAUACGUAGCCGACCUGAGAGGGUGAUCGGCCACACUGGAACUGAGACACGGUCCAGACUCCUACGGGAGGCAGCAGUAGGGAAUCUUCCGCAAUGGGCGAAAGCCUGACGGAGCAACGCCGCGUGAGUGAUGAAGGUCUUCGGAUCGUAAAACUCUGUUAUUAGGGAAGAACAUACGUGUAAGUAACUAUGCACGUCUUGACGGUACCUAAUCAGAAAGCCACGGCUAACUACGUGCCAGCAGCCGCGGUAAUACGUAGGUGGCAAGCGUUAUCCGGAAUUAUUGGGCGUAAAGCGCGCGUAGGCGGUUUUUUAAGUCUGAUGUGAAAGCCCACGGCUCAACCGUGGAGGGUCAUUGGAAACUGGAAAACUUGAGUGCAGAAGAGGAAAGUGGAAUUCCAUGUGUAGCGGUGAAAUGCGCAGAGAUAUGGAGGAACACCAGUGGCGAAGGCGACUUUCUGGUCUGUAACUGACGCUGAUGUGCGAAAGCGUGGGGAUCAAACAGGAUUAGAUACCCUGGUAGUCCACGCCGUAAACGAUGAGUGCUAAGUGUUAGGGGGUUUCCGCCCCUUAGUGCUGCAGCUAACGCAUUAUGCACUCCGCCUGGG